This 468-nucleotide ribosomal RNA is filed under the name uncultured bacterium. Its description in RNAcentral is "partial 16S ribosomal RNA". It matches the Rfam family "Bacterial small subunit ribosomal RNA", at positions 28 to 507 of the family's 1533-position model. The record is from RNAcentral.
GACGAACGCUGGCGGCGUGCUUAACACAUGCAAGUCGAACGGAAAGGCCCUGCUUUUGUGGGGUGCUCGAGUGGCGAACGGGUGAGUAACACGUGAGUAACCCGCCCUUGACUUUGGGAUAACUUCAGGAAACUGGGGCUAAUACCGGAUAGGAGCUCCUGCUGCAUGGUGGGGGUUGGAAAGUUUCGGCGGUUGGGGAUGGACUCGCGGCUUAUCAGCUUGUUGGUGGGGUAGUGGCUUACCAAGGCUUCGACGGGUAGCCGGCCUGAGAGGGUGACCGGCCACAUUGGGCCUGAGAUACGGCCCAGACUCCUACGGGAGGCAGCAGUGGGGAAUAUUGCACAAUGGGCGGAAGCCUGAUGCAGCAACGCCGCGUGCGUGAUGACGGCCUUCGGGUUGUAAACCGCUUUCGCCUGUGACGAAGCGGGAGUGACGGUAAUGGGUAAAGAAGCACCGGCUAACUACGUG